UACUUCUGGGAGGCGACCUAGAUCAUUGCAUUUUAUUUUUUUUUUCAAUUUAAUUAGGAGCUACUUCAAGAUUACCUCAGCCAAGUUGGGGGGAGAACUACAUUUGCUAUCCUCAAGGCCUAGACUGAGCCGAGAACAAAUUAAACCCAUGUGAACUUCUUUUUUUUUCUUUCUUUUUAUGUAUCAUGCUCUAUUUCUCUCAUCCAUUGAGGAUAAUGUCAUUUAAGUUGGGGGAGAA
Molecule: long non-coding RNA, 238 nt
Filed under: Elaeis guineensis (African oil palm)
Lineage: Eukaryota; Viridiplantae; Streptophyta; Magnoliopsida; Arecales; Arecaceae
Description: long non-coding RNA (EGUI_LNC056373)
Source: RNAcentral